GAUGAACGCUAGCGGCAGGCUUAAUACAUGCAAGUCGAGGGGCAGCAGGACUGUAGCAAUACAGUUGCUGGCGACCGGCAAACGGGUGCGGAACACGUACGCAACCUACCCAAAACUGGGGGAUAGCCCGGGGAAACCCGGAUUAAUACCUCGUAACCUUUUUAAGUGGCAUCACUUGAUAAGUAUAGCUCCGGCGGUUUUGGAUGGGCGUGCGCCUGAUUAGGUAGUUGGUGCGGGUAACGGCCCACCAAGCCUGCGAUCAGUAACUGGUGUGAGAGCACGACCAGUCACACGGGCACUGAGACACGGGCCCGACUCCUACGGGAGGCAGCAGUAAGGAAUAGUGGUCAAUGGACGCAAGUCUGAACCAGCCAUGCCGCGUGAAGGAUGAAGGUCCUCUGGAUUGUAAACUUCUUUUAUGGGGGACGAAACCCGGAUAUUCUUAUCCGAUUGACGGUACCUCAGGAAUAAGCACCGGCUAACUCCGUG
Molecule: ribosomal RNA, 489 nt
Filed under: uncultured bacterium
Lineage: Bacteria
Description: partial 16S ribosomal RNA
Rfam family: Bacterial small subunit ribosomal RNA
Source: RNAcentral